UGGGGAAUAUUGCACAAUGGGGGAAACCCUGAUGCAGCCAUGCCGCGUGUGUGAAGAAGGCCUUCGGGUUGUAAAGCACUUUCAGCGAGGAGGAAAGGUUGAUGCCUAAUACGCAUCAGCUGUGACGUUACUCGCAGAAGAAGCACCGGCUAACUCCGUGCCAGCAGCCGCGGUAAUACGGAGGGUGCAAGCGUUAAUCGGAAUUACUGGGCGUAAAGCGCACGCAGGCGGUUGGAUAAGGUAGAUGGGAAAGCCCCGGGCUCAACCUGGGAAUUGCAUUUAAAACUGUCCAGCUAGAGUCUUGUAGAGGGGGGUAGAAUUCCAGGUGUAGCGGUGAAAUGCGUAGAGAUCUGGAGGAAUACCGGUGGCGAAGGCGGCCCCCUGGACAAAGACUGACGCUCAGGUGCGAAAGCGUGGGGAGCAAACA
Molecule: ribosomal RNA, 427 nt
Filed under: uncultured bacterium
Lineage: Bacteria
Description: bacterial SSU rRNA
Rfam family: Bacterial small subunit ribosomal RNA
Source: RNAcentral